GGUUAAGCGACUAAGCGUACACGGUGGAUGCCCUGGCAGUCAGAGGCGAUGAAGGACGUGCUAAUCUGCGAUAAGCGUCGGUGAGGUGAUAUGAACCGUUAUAACCGGCGAUUUCCGAAUGGGGAAACCCAGUGUGAUUCGUCACACUAUCAUUAACUGAAUCCAUAGGUUAAUGAGGCGAACCGGGGGAACUGAAACAUCUAAGUACCCCGAGGAAAAGAAAUCAACCGAGAUUCCCCCAGUAGCGGCGAGCGAACGGGGAGCAGCCCAGAGCCUGAAUCAGUGUGUGUGUUAGUGGAAGCGUCUGGAAAGGCGCGCGAUACAGGGUGACAGCCCCGUACACAAAAAUGCACAUAUUGUGAGCUCGAUGAGUAGGGCGGGACACGUGGUAUCCUGUCUGAAUAUGGGGGACCAUCCUCCAAGGCUAAAUACUCCUGACUGACCGAUAGUGAACCAGUACCGUGAGGGAAAGGCGAAAAGAACCCCGGCGAGGGGAGUGAAAAAGAACCUGAAACCGUGUACGUACAAGCAGUGGGAGCACGCUUAGGCGUGUGACUGCGUACCUUUUGUAUAAUGGGUCAGCGACUUAUAUUCUGUAGCAAGGUUAACCGAAUAGGGGAGCCGAAGGGAAACCGAGUCUUAACUGGGCGUUAAGUUGCAGGGUAUAGACCCGAAACCCGGUGAUCUAGCCAUGGGCAGGUUGAAGGUUGGGUAACACUAACUGGAGGACCGAACCGACUAAUGUUGAAAAAUUAGCGGAUGACUUGUGGCUGGGGGUGAAAGGCCAAUCAAACCGGGAGAUAGCUGGUUCUCCCCGAAAGCUAUUUAGGUAGCGCCUCGUGAAUUCAUCUCCGGGGGUAGAGCACUGUUUCGGCAAGGGGGUCAUCCCGACUUACCAACCCGAUGCAAACUGCGAAUACCGGAGAAUGUUAUCACGGGAGACACACGGCGGGUGCUAACGUCCGUCGUGAAGAGGGAAACAACCCAGACCGCCAGCUAAGGUCCCAAAGUCAUGGUUAAGUGGGAAACGAUGUGGGAAGGCCCAGACAGCCAGGAUGUUGGCUUAGAAGCAGCCAUCAUUUAAAGAAAGCGUAAUAGCUCACUGGUCGAGUCGGCCUGCGCGGAAGAUGUAACGGGGCUAAACCAUGCACCGAAGCUGCGGCAGCGACGCUUAUGCGUUGUUGGGUAGGGGAGCGUUCUGUAAGCCUGUGAAGGUGUGCUGUGAGGCAUGCUGGAGGUAUCAGAAGUGCGAAUGCUGACAUAAGUAACGAUAAAGCGGGUGAAAAGCCCGCUCGCCGGAAGACCAAGGGUUCCUGUCCAACGUUAAUCGGGGCAGGGUGAGUCGACCCCUAAGGCGAGGCCGAAAGGCGUAGUCGAUGGGAAACAGGUUAAUAUUCCUGUACUUGGUGUUACUGCGAAGGGGGGACGGAGAAGGCUAUGUUGGCCGGGCGACGGUUGUCCCGGUUUAAGCGUGUAGGCUGGUUUUCCAGGCAAAUCCGGAAAAUCAAGGCUGAGGCGUGAUGACGAGGCACUACGGUGCUGAAGCAACAAAUGCCCUGCUUCCAGGAAAAGCCUCUAAGCAUCAGGUAACAUCAAAUCGUACCCCAAACCGACACAGGUGGUCAGGUAGAGAAUACCAAGGCGCUUGAGAGAACUCGGGUGAAGGAACUAGGCAAAAUGGUGCCGUAACUUCGGGAGAAGGCACGCUGAUAUGUAGGUGAAGUCCCUUGCGGAUGGAGCUGAAAUCAGUCGAAGAUACCAGCUGGCUGCAACUGUUUAUUAAAAACACAGCACUGUGCAAACACGAAAGUGGACGUAUACGGUGUGACGCCUGCCCGGUGCCGGAAGGUUAAUUGAUGGGGUUAGCGCAAGCGAAGCUCUUGAUCGAAGCCCCGGUAAACGGCGGCCGUAACUAUAACGGUCCUAAGGUAGCGAAAUUCCUUGUCGGGUAAGUUCCGACCUGCACGAAUGGCGUAAUGAUGGCCAGGCUGUCUCCACCCGAGACUCAGUGAAAUUGAACUCGCUGUGAAGAUGCAGUGUACCCGCGGCAAGACGGAAAGACCCCGUGAACCUUUACUAUAGCUUGACACUGAACAUUGAGCCUUGAUGUGUAGGAUAGGUGGGAGGCUUAGAAGUGUGGACGCCAGUCUGCAUGGAGCCGACCUUGAAAUACCACCCUUUAAUGUUUGAUGUUCUAACGUUGACCCGUAAUCCGGGUUGCGGACAGUGUCUGGUGGGUAGUUUGACUGGGGCGGUCUCCUCCUAAAGAGUAACGGAGGAGCACGAAGGUUGGCUAAUCCUGGUCGGACAUCAGGAGGUUAGUGCAAUGGCAUAAGCCAGCUUGACUGCGAGCGUGACGGCGCGAGCAGGUGCGAAAGCAGGUCAUAGUGAUCCGGUGGUUCUGAAUGGAAGGGCCAUCGCUCAACGGAUAAAAGGUACUCCGGGGAUAACAGGCUGAUACCGCCCAAGAGUUCAUAUCGACGGCGGUGUUUGGCACCUCGAUGUCGGCUCAUCACAUCCUGGGGCUGAAGUAGGUCCCAAGGGUAUGGCUGUUCGCCAUUUAAAGUGGUACGCGAGCUGGGUUUAGAACGUCGUGAGACAGUUCGGUCCCUAUCUGCCGUGGGCGCUGGAGAACUGAGGGGGGCUGCUCCUAGUACGAGAGGACCGGAGUGGACGCAUCACUGGUGUUCGGGUUGUCAUGCCAAUGGCACUGCCCGGUAGCUAAAUGCGGAAGAGAUAAGUGCUGAAAGCAUCUAAGCACGAAACUUGCCCCGAGAUGAGUUCUCCCUGACUCCUUGAGAGUCCUGAAGGAACGUUGAAGACGACGACGUUGAUAGGCCGGGUGUGUAAGCGCAGCGAUGCGUUGAGCUAACCGGUACUAAUGAACCGUGAGGCUUAACCUU
RNAcentral lists this ribosomal RNA (2903 nucleotides) under Escherichia coli. Its description in RNAcentral is "23S ribosomal RNA". It matches the Rfam family "Bacterial large subunit ribosomal RNA". Lineage: Bacteria; Pseudomonadati; Pseudomonadota; Gammaproteobacteria; Enterobacterales; Enterobacteriaceae. The record is from RNAcentral.